RNAcentral lists this ribosomal RNA (399 nucleotides) under uncultured bacterium. RNAcentral's name for it is "bacterial SSU rRNA". It matches the Rfam family "Bacterial small subunit ribosomal RNA", at positions 28 to 429 of the family's 1533-position model. The record is from RNAcentral.
GACGAACGCUGGCGGCGUGCUUAACACAUGCAAGUCGAGCGGUAAGGCCCUUUCGGGGGUACACGAGCGGCGAACGGGUGAGUAACACGUGGGUGACCUGCCCUCAGCUCUGGGAUAAGCCUGGGAAACUGGGUCUAAUACUGGAUAUGACUCCACGGUGCAUGUCGUGGGGUGGAAAGCCUUGUGCGGCUGAGGAUGGGCCCGCGGCCUAUCAGCUUGUUGGUGGGGUGANGGCCUACCAAGGCGACGACGGGUAGCCGGCCUGAGAGGGCGACCGGCCACACUGGGACUGAGACACGGCCCAGACUCCUACGGGGAGGCAGCAGUGGGGAAUCUUGCGCAAUGGGCGAAAAGCCUGACGCAGCGACGCCGCGUGAGGGAUGACGGCCUGGUUGUAAC